GCAAGUCGAGCGAUGAGAUCACUCUCCGUGAAGGAUUAGCGGCGAACGGGUGAGGAACACGUGAAGAAUCUGCCUUCAACUCUGGGAUAACUCCGGGAAAGCGGGGCUAAUACCGGAUAUGAGCCUUGAUCGCAUGAUCGGGGCUGGAAAGUUUUUCGGUUGAAGAUGACUUCGCGGCCUAUCAGCUUGUUGGUGAGGUAAUGGCUCACCAAGGCGACGACGGGUAGCCGGCCUGAGAGGGCGACCGGCCACACUGGGACUGAGACACGGCCCAGACUCCUACGGGAGGCAGCAGUGGGGAAUAUUGGGCAAUGGACGAAAGUCUGACCCAGCGACGCCGCGUGCGGGAUGAAGGCCUUCGGGUUGUAAACCGCUUUCAGCAGGGAAUAAGCGCAAGUGAAGGUACCUGCAGAAGAAGCACCGGCUAACUAUGUGCCAGCAGCCGCGGUAAUACAUAGGGUGCAAGCGUUGUCCGGAAUUAUUGGGCGUAAAGAGCUCGUAGGUGGUUUGUUACGUCGGUUGUGAAAUUCAGGGGCUCAACCCCUGACUUGCAGCCGAUACGGGCAAGCUAGAGUUUGGUAGGGGAGACUGGAAUUCCUGGUGUAGCGGUGGAAUGCGCAGAUAUCAGGAGGAACACCGAUGGCGAAGGCAGGUCUCUGGGCCAAUACUGACACUGAGGAGCGAAAGCGUGGGGAGCGAACAGGAUUAGAUACCCUGGUAGUCCACGCCGUANACGGUGGGCGCUAGUUGUGCGAACCUUCCACGGUUUGUGCGACGCAGCUAACGCAUUAAGCGCCCCGCCUGGGGAGUACGAUCGCAGGAUUAAAACUCAAAGGAAUUGACGGGGCCCCGCACAAGCAGCGGAGCAUGCGGCUUAAUUCGACGCACCGCGAAGAACCUUACCAAGGCUUGACAUAUACAGGAAUAUGGCAGAGAUGUCAUAGC
Molecule: ribosomal RNA, 945 nt
Filed under: uncultured Actinomycetales bacterium
Lineage: Bacteria; Bacillati; Actinomycetota; Actinomycetes; Actinomycetales
Description: bacterial SSU rRNA
Rfam family: Bacterial small subunit ribosomal RNA
Source: RNAcentral